Molecule: transfer RNA, 76 nt
Filed under: Felis catus (domestic cat)
Lineage: Eukaryota; Metazoa; Chordata; Mammalia; Carnivora; Felidae
Rfam family: tRNA
About the family: Transfer RNA (tRNA) molecules are approximately 80 nucleotides in length.
Source: Rfam by way of RNAcentral
GCUCAGUUGGCUAAGCGUCUGACUUCAACUCAGGUCAUGAUCUCACGGCUUGUGGGUUCGAGUCCUGCAUUGAGCU